GACGAACCGUGCGAACGUUGUUCGGAAUCACUGGGCUUAAAGGGCGCGUAGGCGGGCUGGCCAGUCAGGGGUGAAAGCCCACGGCUCAACCGUGGAAGUGCCUUUGAUACUGCCAGCCUGGAGGGGGAUAGGGGCGUGCGGAACUUCCGGUGGAGCGGUGAAAUGCGUAGAUAUCGGAAGGAACACCGGUGGCGAAAGCGGCGCGCUGGAUCCCUACUGACGCUGAGGCGCGAAAGCCAGGGGAGCGAACGGG
RNAcentral lists this ribosomal RNA (253 nucleotides) under uncultured bacterium. RNAcentral describes it as "partial 16S ribosomal RNA". It matches the Rfam family "Bacterial small subunit ribosomal RNA", at positions 524 to 776 of the family's 1533-position model. The record is from RNAcentral.